GACAGAGGGGGCAAGCGUUGCUCGGAUUUAUUGGGCGUAAAGGGUGCGUAGGCGGCGGAGUAAGUUGGGUGUGAAAUCCCGGGGCUCAACCUCGGAAUUGCAUUCAAUACUGCUUCGCUCGAGUACUGGAGAGGAGACUGGAAUUUACGGUGUAGCAGUGAAAUGCGUAGAUAUCGUAAGGAAGGCCGGUGGCGAAAGCGAGUCUCUGGACAGUUACUGACGCUGAGGCACGAAGGCCAGGGGAGCAAACGGG
This 253-nucleotide ribosomal RNA is filed under the name uncultured bacterium. RNAcentral's name for it is "partial 16S ribosomal RNA". It matches the Rfam family "Bacterial small subunit ribosomal RNA", at positions 524 to 776 of the family's 1533-position model. The record is from RNAcentral.